UUAAAAAUGUUUUUUAAACAGGUGAG
RNAcentral lists this non-coding RNA (26 nucleotides) under Mus musculus (house mouse). Lineage: Eukaryota; Metazoa; Chordata; Mammalia; Rodentia; Muridae. The record is from RNAcentral.